Molecule: long non-coding RNA, 183 nt
Organism: Camelus dromedarius (Arabian camel)
Lineage: Eukaryota; Metazoa; Chordata; Mammalia; Artiodactyla; Camelidae
Exons: 3
Source: RefSeq, a predicted model, not a curated record
UCUCAGGCCUCUGGACUCAGACUGAAUUCCUGGCUUCCCUGGUUCUCCAGCUUGCAGAUGGCAGAUUACUGGACUUCUUGGCCUCCAUAAUCACGUCUUCAGCCAGAGAACAGGAGUUUGUCCACCCUUAGCUUCUAGAAACAACUACCCAUAGUAGUCAUGCAUGGUCCGCGCCAUUAAGAG